AUCCUUCUGUAGUUCACAAGAGUGAUGACUGGGUGUUCAUGCUCUCGUGUGACAUGUGCCUCCCAAGAACCUUGUUACAACCUCAGCACAUUAGCCGGCUGACA
Molecule: small nucleolar RNA, 104 nt
Organism: Phyllostomus discolor (pale spear-nosed bat)
Lineage: Eukaryota; Metazoa; Chordata; Mammalia; Chiroptera; Phyllostomidae
Product: small nucleolar RNA U13
Exons: 1
Source: RefSeq, a predicted model, not a curated record